This 253-nucleotide ribosomal RNA is filed under the name uncultured bacterium. RNAcentral describes it as "partial 16S ribosomal RNA". It matches the Rfam family "Bacterial small subunit ribosomal RNA", at positions 524 to 776 of the family's 1533-position model. The record is from RNAcentral.
UACGUAGGGGGCUAGCGUUGUCCGGAAUCAUUGGGCGUAAAGGGCGCGUAGGCGGCCUGAUAAGUAGGGGGUGAAAUCCUGCGGCUUAACCGCAGGGCUGCCUUCUAAACUGUCAGGCUCGAGCACAGUAGAGGCAGGUGGAAUUCCCGGUGUAGCGGUGGAAUGCGUAGAGAUCGGGAAGAACAUCAGUGGCGAAGGCGGCCUGCUGGGCUGUUGCUGACGCUGAGGCGCGACAGCGUGGGGAGCAAACAGG